AGCAACUGGGAGGAGCACCAAAAGGUCACAGAGUGGUCAGUUUUUCAAAGAGGGACAUGCCAGAACCACAAAGCCAGGCAAGACUUAUUGACUGCAUCCUUAAAAGAUUCUCUGCUGCAGGAAUUCUUAGUGGGGGGGGUGACGAGGAGCAAAACAAGCAGCUGCACAUGGCAUCAGCUUUCCUACACAAGGUUGUUGUGAUUACCCACCUUUGUGCAGUAAAUGGUGUUUUAUAAAUGGCCAUCAGCAUACCCACCUCCAGAAGGAGGUCUGUGGGCUGGCUGAGAGCAGUAGUGCUUGUUGCCAGCACUGUGGUAAGCUGUGCUGCAGGGCUGGGGAGGGUCCUGCCUCAGCCCCCAAAGGCUGGGAGCUGGCUCAGCUCUUGACAUCUGUUCCUUUUCUGUAGUAAUCACUGGGAGAGGCCUUUGCAUGUCAAGUCCCUGUUGCUGCUUGCAGUUUUGUAAUGUUUCCACACUUACAAGCUGAGGUAUCUGAUUAUUUUAAAGGGCAUUCACACAUGCAGUUCCUAUAUUUAUUGUCUGUUUUACUGUGAACUUUUAGUCGAAGGGAAUAAUCUGUCUAAAAUUACUCUCAGCUUUUGACCAGUGGAGCUGAAAAUACUAAUUGUAUAAUUGAGUGAAAGAUGUUGUAUUUUCUGCUAUUGUAUUUUGCUUUCCUUGGUAAAAUGGCAAAAUUAUCUUGAUUGUCACACUUAUCACUGUUACUGCUGAAACAGCCUUGGGUUAACUCCCUUGAUUUUACUUAUUUACUGCCAUGCCAAUUGUUUUGGGAUUCUCUUCAGUCAACAAAUUUGUGACACUGAAUUUCUGGUCAUUUCUGUGUGGCAGUCUGUGUUUAUUUCAUUGGGUUUGGCUAAACUGAAUGUUCAACAGCAUAUUCUGUUAUCCCCCAUGUUUUCCCUAGUUGGUUCCUCCCUAAAUUGUGCCCUCCUUUCCAGCUGUCCCUCAGGUUGUCUCCUCCCUUUGUUCCAGACCCUUACUUGCCUAUCAAGGCAACCCUACCCCUUCUGCCCUGUCUGUCAAGGCAACCCUGCCCUUUGUUCCAGAAUGUUCCCUGCCAGUUAUCCCAUGGACCAAUCCCCUGUUGAGCCUCUUCUCCUUCUGUUAUCCUGAUUCAAUGUUAUCCCAAAACCACACCCUGAGUGUCACCUUAUUGGUUGUUCCAUUGUAUCCCCCCCCCCAUUUUUUGAGGCUCUAUAAUCCCCUGCACAGAGGUGCUUAGGGCUUUCUCUGCCUGUGAUCCUUUCAACCUUAGUUCUUCCUGUACUCCUACCACCUCAACAAACGGGUUGGAGCUUCACCACAAGAGUAUCCAAUGCCUUCUUCACCCAGUCCCUGCCGUGGCAUCUCAGAGCACCGCUUUAGAGCAGUGAGCUUUAAGGUUCUGCCCUUGGCACUCCCCCAGCCAGGGCAGUUCCCCACACUCGCUGCUGCUCCGGAACACCAAAGAGCUAGCCUGAGCUCUCCAGCAGGCAGUGGCAUUUCUGCAUAGUUCACUACUGAGUAUUCAUCACCAGAUGCUUUUGAACUUGCUGCUUCUAUUGUUGAAGUUAAUGAGAUGGGAGUGUUCUUCCCAGCCAGAGUUCUCCUCAGCUCAGGGAACUUUUAAUCCCAUGUCUCUGACAUCAUGGUCCAUUGCCAUGACAAUGUCUUAUGGGCUGUGCAGCCAACAGCCUGGUUUUCUGCAGGAAUUUUAUAUGUGAAAGAAUGAAAUCAGAGGGAACAUUAACACUUAUUGGCUGUGCACUCAUACAAAUAUAUGUAGAAAAAGAAAUUGUAGAAGAAUGCAAAAGCUGGAAAUCCAGAAGUUAUUUGGGUUUUGUAUUUAAGGUGUGGGCUUGAAGCAGAGGAAAAUUCUACUUUGUUUGUAUUCUAAAUUCCUAGCUCUUGGUCUUGUGCUGGACCUGGUCAGCAUAACUUUGUCCAGCCAGCAUACUGCCAGUGCCUUGUAUUCAUGGAUAUUAAGUUGCUGGUUGUCUUGGUUUGGGGUUGUUGUUGUUCACGACUUUUCUGUGCUUUUCCCGAAUUUAGAUAGUUGAAAGGUGAGAGAACAAGGCUCAGAAAAAGUCUCCUUGUCUUUUCUUCUCUAGAUGUUCUGUCCUUAAUUUUCUAGCAAACAGAUAAAAUCCCCAGCCUCUUGAAUUAUUCAUUCAAAUUAUACUGCACAUUUUCCUUCUUCAAGCUUUCUUCAGGUUCCUACUGAACUGAAAAUAAUCAGUAAUGUACUCUGAUUUUUAAGAUAAUUUUUAUAUGCACUAAAGUGUCCUCUGAAAAGCACUGUCUGUCCUCUAAGGAAAAAAAUGCUUGUGCUGAAACCUGUCCUGUUAGAACAGAAUUUCCUUUGUUAAACUGCACUGAUUUAAUUGACUGUGUUUAAAUGAAACCUAUUGCAAUUAGUCACAUCUCAUCCAUAGCUAAUUUAUAGAAGGAAAGUCUUUAGUCAUAUGAUAGUGGAGCUCAUUAUGUAUUACGGGUUCCUGAUUCAUGAUACAAACUAAUGUUCAGUCUUUAAAAGAAUUUUAGUUUAUUUUUGCACUUGUGAAGAAGUCUUUGCCUGUGGGAAGCUAAGGAAAAGGGCAAGAAUACACACUCUGUACUUGUAACUCUCUCAUCGUGACCAAUGUGAUCUUAUUUGACACCGAUAUUUGGUUGAAUCUCCUGAAAAUGAUGGGUUGGAGUACAUGACCUGAUGUAAGCCAGUUGCAUAAAAUAUGCCCAGACCUGGCAAAACUAAUUUCUCCCUAUAUAAAAAGCCAACCUGCAAAAUGUGCUUUUGUCUGGUAAGGCAGACCACUGCUGCAUGAAUUAAAUGCACAAUUUCCUUGAUGACAACAUUUUGUUUAAGGUGGUGAAUUGCUCUCUGCUUUGCCAAUUUAUGACCUUAUUUCCCUCUGGGCAUCCCUUUAGGCUUACCUGCUUGCCAAGAUACGAGAAUUGAAUCAUCUGGUAGUACUUGAGCUGCACAUCUCACCACAAUAACUGGCUGAUGGUCAUGCUGACUCAGCUGCUUCUGUGUGUUAUACCCCUAAGCUUGUUACAUUUACUUAAUUAAUUCAUUCCUGCUUUCAGACUUUGGAAGCUGAUAAGGGGAGGUUGCCCUUAGCUCAGUUCCUAUUUCUUAACUUAAACAUUUGAUUAAAUUUAAUAAUAAAACUGCAUUAGUCCUUUGAACUCGUAUCUACCCGUGAUUCAGAGGAUUAGAAGAAGUCAGUCCAAUCUUUUAAAGAGGUUUUUGCAGUUUUGAGAGUAUCUUUUAUCUCAGGGACACACAUUGUUGUGUUAGCCCCCUUCCUUUGUCAUUUUCUGAAGGUCACCUCAAGUUUUGCAAGGCUGGAGGGAAUGGCUGCAGCCACCUCAUCUGCCAGCUGCCUCCCUCAGGCCCUCGAGCUGAGCUUGCUUGUGGGUUCCACACUGGAGGGGCUUAUUCUGCCUUUUUUUUUUUUGUAAUGAGUUCUCCAACAAAGCCCCUACAAAAUAGCUGUGUUGUGGAAAACAAAUAUAUAAUGUGCUUCUUGCUUAAGUGCUCUUUCACUUCAGCAGACUGACAACCAUCAAUAAGCCCUAUCUCUGUACAGUCCACAGAUGCCACCGAGGUCAUACUGGGUUGGCUAAGCACAAAAGUUUGAAUAUCCCUGAAUUCCUCAGAUGCCUGAUGAAUUAACAGGGACAAUUGACAAAAAAGAGACCUUUCUCUCCACCCACCAGAAGUCACUUCAAAAUCUGCACCUGGUCUAAUCUUUACUACUUGAACUAAUUGCUAUUUGCAGCGGCAUAUGGAAAAAAGCUCUUUUGCCCAAUGAUAUUUCAGGCUACAAGGACAUUUCAUAUUACUUGUUCAUUUUGGAGAGUGCCUACACAUUGCAAUCAUUUUUCUUUGUGGGAGCUGUGGUUCAUAAAAAAACAAAAACAAACAAACAAACAAAAAAAACCAAAACAAAAAAACCCCCAAACACCCCCCCCCCCCCAGAAAAAAACCAAACCAAAAAACAAAACCAGAUAGCAAGUGACUCAAGUGACUCUGAGAAAGCAAGGGAAUUUUCAUAUUAAAAGCUUCCUGAGAAAAGGACCAGAGAACAUCACACUUUGCUCAUCUUCUUGAAUAAUUCAUAUAUACUUGCACAAAAAUCUGAAGGAGUUUUUGGUCUAUGUGGGCAAUGUGUAAAAGUGGAAGCUUUAUUUAUUUUUGAGUAGACUUUUCAAAUUCAUUUUCCUUUUGAUACACACACAGUAUGUGAUGUUGCUAAUAUUUUACCAAUAAGCUUUGAGAAGACAUGGCUUUCAUGGCCACAAGGUAUCAAUGCAAUCUGCAUCUCUGAAGCCUGGUGUAGUAUAGUACAAUUUCCAAAUGUGUUCAUACAGUGGCUUAUUAUGCUUAUGAAUGUUUAUGAAAGCACUCAAUCUUGCCAUGAAGAUUCAAGAAAACAAUCUAUUGUUACAAUACCCUAAAGAGUGCAGUUUGUGGCUGCUGCAAAACAUAAUUUACCUGCUUUUUCUAGAGAAGCAGAUUUCUAUUCUUGUUCAUCAACAGCUUGGAGAUACCAGGUCUUAGCAAGGUACAUCCAAGUCCCUCUAGAUGGUGUUUGGCCCUGCAUCUCUCAUCUCCCGGACAGAGGCUGUAAUCUGCAUUUCAACUGGAACAAUUAUGUUGUCCCUUGUGGAUACAUGCCAGUGUGGGGCAUAAAAGUUCCACUUUGUGUAGAGAAGUUAGUUGAGGGUUUAGUGGAUUAGAGGCAGUCUCUCCUCCUCUCUAAUGUAGCUUUGAUGUUUUUUGAGGAAUUGACUUGGUUGGGGGAUUGGAAAUCCCUCUCCUUCUCAUUUACUGGAGCUGUAACACCAUGAGGACAUAGGGAGCCUCCUCCUGUGACCAGCCACCGUUGAAAUAGUGAAGUAAAAUACGACAGGUCUGAGAAGAGGGGCUGGCAGAACCUCACAUACAAUGGUUGCAUGAUGGGAGUGUUCACCCUGGGAGGUGAGUAGGAUACAAAAUAACGUCCCCAGGCAGAUGCUGGAACUGUACCUCUUUCCUACAUGAACAGAGAUUAAAUAUCUGCUAGACUCAAGGUUUAAAAGAAAGCAGGAUUUUUGCCUAUCUUUUGAAAGACAAAAGCAGCUUCAGUUUCUGAAAUUAAAGAGCCAAAGUCAGAAAUCACUAGCAAAGAUGGGCACUUCCCUGUGAUGUGGUUCGAGCUGGCCAAACACAAGCAGCAGAGCUUGCUUGUCAAGGUCUUUGUUCCUCACAGGCAAGGGAGCUUGGCAUCAUAAUGCUGCACUUUCUAUAAAUUCCACUAUAGGACCAUAACUAUAGUGUUGCAGUGUCUACCAAACAGCCACUUGGUGCUUCCCUGCCAGCUCCCAUGCUGCAGACUGCAGGGGACACUCCUCCGCGCUCAGGAGUGCAGAGGGUUGGCUAAAGGUGUUAGCCCUUUCCUCGGGAGGAGACGGUUGGCGAUGGUGAAGGAAGGGAGUAGGCAAUUCAGAAGGUAAUUAGUCCAAAGCUUUAUUAGGAGCCACGAGGAGCUCGAGGAGCUCCUAGUCUCAGGGGUUACAGCUCCAAAAAGCCUUGGGAAUCAUAGGAGCAGUAUCUUUUAUUCAGGGAUGGUACCAAAGGAGGGGGUUCAACUACCCACCAAUAGGGGAUCAAGAGGGUGUGAAUUGGGAGAUAAUUGACAACUAGGACAACCUUUCCGGAAACUUUGUGGGAGGGAUCCCUGAUCUUUGACUAAUCAAUCAAUGCCCUUUAUGGAAGAUUCCAGAGACAGGGGUGGAGAACUGAGUGACAGACAAGGCACUGGGGAGGGGAUUUGAGGACUGACAGGGAAGUUUCCAGUGAAAUGAAAAGUGGGGAUAGGAUUGACAUUGGGGAAAGGGAGAUAUCUUAGGGUGCAGCCACAAACAGGGAGGGGGGGAAUCAAGAACGAAUCAAAUAACGCAACACAACACUACAGGAGUAUAACUACAGGGGCAUCUCAUGGAGUUGGUGAUUAUGGUUUCUUCAGUGCGGAGCUCUUCACUUCUUCCCUGUGUAUGUGUCUGUCUACCCCAGGGAGAAAACAGUGAUUUGUGAGAAGCAAGUUUGUGUGCUGGGUUAUUGUCGUGGUUUGAGAGGAAGUGAGUUUUUGGGAGGUGGUGGUGGUCAAACCAAUAGGUGCUCAGAUGUGAAUAUUGGCACCUGGUUUGGCCAUUGAGGAUAUGGAUACGCCUCUGAGAAC
This is a long non-coding RNA of Motacilla alba alba, 6229 nucleotides long. RefSeq lists it as uncharacterized. The record is from RefSeq and is a predicted model, not a curated record. The transcript has 3 exons. NCBI's taxonomy places the organism in Eukaryota, Metazoa, Chordata, Aves, Passeriformes, Motacillidae.